AAUCCAUAGGUUAAUGAGGCGAACCGGGGGAACUGAAACAUCUAAGUACCCCGAGGAAAAGAAAUCAACCGAGAUUCCCCCAGUAGCGGCGAGCGAACGGGGAGGAGCCCAGAGCCUGAAUCAGCAUGUGUGUUAGUGGAAGCGUCUGGAAAGGCGCGCGAUACAGGGUGACAGCCCCGUACACAAAAGCGCAUGUGCUGUGAGCUCGAUGAGUAGGGCGGGACACGUGGUAUCCUGUCUGAAUAUGGGGGGACCAUCCUCCAAGGCUAAAUACUCCUGACUGACCGAUAGUGAACCAGUACCGUGAGGGAAAGGCGAAAAGAACCCCGGCGAGGGGAGUGAAAAAGAACCUGAAACCGUGUACGUACAAGCAGUGGGAGCACCCUUUGGGGUGUGACUGCGUACCUUUUGUAUAAUGGGUCAGCGACUUAUAUUCUGUAGCAAGGUUAACCGUAUAGGGGAGCCGUAGGGAAACCGAGUCUUAACCGGGCGUUAAGUUGCAGGGUAUAGACCCGAAACCCGGUGAUCUAGCCAUGGGCAGGUUGAAGGUUGGGUAACACUAACUGGAGGACCGAACCGACUAAUGUUGAAAAAUUAGCGGAUGACCUGUGGCUGGGGGUGAAAGGCCAAUCAAACCGGGAGAUAGCUGGUUCUCCCCGAAAGCUAUUUAGGUAGCGCCUCGUGAAUUCAUCUCCGGGGGUAGAGCACUGUUUCGGCUAGGGGGCCAUCCCGGCUUACCAACCCGAUGCAAACUGCGAAUACCGGAGAAUGUUAUCACGGGAGACACACGGCGGGUGCUAACGUCCGUCGUGAAGAGGGAAACAACCCAGACCGCCAGCUAAGGUCCCAAAGUCAUGGUUAAGUGGGAAACGAUGUGGGAAGGCCCAGACAGCCAGGAUGUUGGCUUAGAAGCAGCCAUCAUUUAAAGAAAGCGUAAUAGCUCACUGGUCGAGUCGGCCUGCGCGGAAGAUGUAACGGGGCUAAACCAUGCACCGAAGCUGCGGCAGCGACGCUUAUGCGU
RNAcentral lists this ribosomal RNA (1021 nucleotides) under Salmonella enterica subsp. enterica serovar Hadar. RNAcentral describes it as "partial 23S ribosomal RNA". It matches the Rfam family "Bacterial large subunit ribosomal RNA", at positions 161 to 1221 of the family's 2925-position model. Lineage: Bacteria; Pseudomonadati; Pseudomonadota; Gammaproteobacteria; Enterobacterales; Enterobacteriaceae. The record is from RNAcentral.